AUUAUGGUGAUGAAGAAGAAAAGUAAUUAUUUUAUUUGUUUAAGAGAGCUGGGUAUGGUGGAAACCGGUACAUUUACUUUAAUGAAAGAAGCUUUGGAGCUAUGGAUCGAAAAUCAUAGAUAUUUAAAAAUAUGGAGUAGAUUCGUGGGGCGCUUCCCUUAAAGAGCUUAGAGAACUGAAAUGUAUUAUUAAUUUUAGUUGAAUUUAGGUGGUAACACGUGAGUAAAUCCUUUCGUCCUAUAA
Molecule: non-coding RNA, 243 nt
Filed under: Hathewaya proteolytica
Lineage: Bacteria; Bacillati; Bacillota; Clostridia; Eubacteriales; Clostridiaceae
Description: Clostridium proteolyticum T-box sequence
Rfam family: T-box leader
About the family: Uncharged tRNA acts as the effector for transcription antitermination of genes in the T-box leader family.
Source: RNAcentral